This 231-nucleotide long non-coding RNA is filed under the name Ananas comosus (pineapple). Its description in RNAcentral is "long non-coding RNA (ACOM_LNC005746)". Lineage: Eukaryota; Viridiplantae; Streptophyta; Magnoliopsida; Poales; Bromeliaceae. The record is from RNAcentral.
UACAUAUAUAUAUAUAUAUAUAUUAAAAGAAAAAGAAAAAAGAAAAGUAUUCAAAAUAAAGGUAUAAUUAGUUGAUUGAUGCUUGUUUCUUCAAUAGGUUGAUUUUUUUUUAAAUCAUUCCCAAAUGGGAAUCACCUUGGAACCUUAUAUAAAAUAAGCUCCAAAUUUUGAAAAUGGGUUGGAGAGAAUUUUUUUGAGAAGAAGAAAGAGAGGAGAAUAUCCGAAAGGAGA